GGGGGGCGAGGGGGAGAGGAGAGGGGGGAGGGAGAAGGGGGAGCGGGAUGACAACAAUAGUAUCAUCUAUCAUGGACUCAUGGUCUCGCUCUACACAAUUUCCUGGAUGUGUCCAAAGCCAUGUAAAAGAAUCUUCAUAAAAUACCCAGUCUGUGACUUCCCAACAGUGUAAUGUACGCAAAAUUGAUUUCAUGUAGGAAAAAACAUUCUACUAUAACAUCCCACAGGGGAAAAAAAGCUAUCACAACAAUUUUCCACCCCCUUCUCACCUAGUCACAAAUUAAAAUAGUUUGGAAUAUAGAAGCCUAGCAGGUUCUUAAGUUAAAGAACAUAAAACCUGAUAACCAAAAUUUUAGUUCAUUGGAAAUUGAAAGGUUCAUCACCUAUUCCUGAGAAUAAAAUCAUUUGCAUCUGGAUUUAUUUAAGCCAACAUGUGACAAACUUAACCAAAACAUUUUCCUGCAACAAGAAGUUUGCGACUUUGUAUAAAAUUCACCAAUAUCAAGAGCCUUCUUACAAUAUAUUUAUAUCAAACUAUGUUUAACAAAUAUAGGAUGUCUUAUUCAUCAAACAACUUGAACUCAACUCAGCAACUCUCACUACACUGCUACGAUACAUGAUUCAAUACGCUUUUAUGUUGUAUAUAAAGUUAAUUAUAUAUUGACACAAAUAAAUCAUGUUUGCUUGCCUUGGAACAAAAGAUUGCAUGAAAUAAUAGUCCUAAUUCGAUACAUAUGAAUUUAUAAUUCCAAAACCAGCCACACUUAUGCAAUGCCAACCAAAGAUAUCAGGAAAGGCAAAAAUAAGAGGAAUUGACAAUCUCCCAGGCAACUACUAAUCGUCAUAUAGAUAGUUAAUGUGAACCCAUCAAAAUUUAAGAAAAAUUUAAUGACCCAACAAAUUGAUGGGGAAAAAAAUGUGGGGUUUGUUUGUCACUAGAAGUUUAAAAAUCACAGCGUAAUAAGAAAUCUAUAAAGCUGGGUGUAAAAGAACUAGAGAAGAAAGAACGGUUGAGCCAUUGCCCCAGCUUAAUUGAUGGGAAAAACUUAGUAUACCUUAAUUACCCUCAUCUACUACUCUACUAUUACUAGUUAUUUUUAUUUUCCUUGCACUCUUUUCCAAUGUACGCAGGUUUCAAUGACUAGAACAAUUGCCUAAUAUUUGCAUUCCAGUAAACAAAAUGAAUAAGCUAAAACUGUUGCAGUGACGUGAGCAGUUAAAAACUAAAACAAAAAUAGCAGAACAAGAUCCACAGAUUCAUAUAAUACUCUAGGUCCACAGAUUCAUAUAAUACUCUAGGCUCCAGCAACAAAAAGGCAAACAAAAUUUGCAGAACCCGCUAGUGCAACAGUUAAUCAAUAGAAAAUAGAAAAUCUAACACUAUGUAACAAAUUAAAAUUCUUUCAAAAAAAGAAUCAAAAGCAGGGAAUAACAUUGAGACAUUUUAUCGAACAACUGAUGUACAACAUCCAAGUUCAUCACAAAUUUUACCAAGUACAAGGCAUAUCAUAGAACAAGGUGCUUCAUCAGACCAUUAAAAUUUGAGAAAUUUGGAUAUAGCAGCGGUCAAAAAGAAAUCCAUAAAAAAGAGAAAGACGAUGAUAACGACAAAACAUGAAGAUUAUAGGGGAAAGAAAGAAUAUGCAUAAUCUGAAAUCAAAACUAUGAGACACGUAUACCCAGAGUUUCUUUGAAUUGAAAAUUUUGCUUGCGUGAAAAAUCAGACGGCCAAAG
RNAcentral lists this unclassified non-coding RNA (1734 nucleotides) under Hevea brasiliensis (rubber tree). The record is from RNAcentral. Lineage: Eukaryota; Viridiplantae; Streptophyta; Magnoliopsida; Malpighiales; Euphorbiaceae.